AUUGAACGCUGGCGGAAUGCUUUACACAUGCAAGUCGAACGGCAGCACGGACUUCGGUCUGGUGGCGAGUGGCGAACGGGUGAGUAAUACAUCGGAACGUGCCCAAUCGUGGGGGAUAACGUAGCGAAAGCUACGCUAAUACCGCAUACGAUCUAAGGAUGAAAGCGGGGGAUCGCAAGACCCCGCGCGAUUGGAGCGGCCGAUGGCAGAUUAGGUAGUUGGUAGGGUAAAGGCCUACCAAGCCGACGAUCUGUAGCUGGUCUGCGAGGAUGAUCAGCAACACUGGGACUGAGACACGGCCCAGACUCCUACGGGAGGCAGCAGUGGGGAAUUUUGGACAAUGGACGCAAGUCUGAUCCAGCCAUUCCGCGUGCAGGAUGAAGGCCCUCGGGUUGUAAACUGCUUUUGUACAGAACGAAAAGGCUCUGGUUAAUACCUAGGGCUCAUGACGGUACUGUAAGAAUAAGCACCGGCUAACUACGUGCCAGCCGCCGCCGUAA
This 500-nucleotide ribosomal RNA is filed under the name uncultured bacterium. RNAcentral describes it as "partial 16S ribosomal RNA". It matches the Rfam family "Bacterial small subunit ribosomal RNA", at positions 30 to 523 of the family's 1533-position model. The record is from RNAcentral.